GCAGUGUACCCGCGGCAAGACGGAAAGACCCCGUGAACCUUUACUAUAGCUUGACACUGAACAUUGAGCCUUGAUGUGUAGGAUAGGUGGGAGGCUUUGAAGCGUGGACGCCAGUCUGCGUGGAGCCGACCUUGAAAUACCACCCUUUAAUGUUUGAUGUUCUAACGUGGAUCCGUAAUCCGGGUUGCGGACAGUGUCUGGUGGGUAGUUUGACUGGGGCGGUCUCCUCCUAAAGAGUAACGGAGGAGCACGAAGGUUGGCUAAUCCUGGUCGGACAUCAGGAGGUUAGUGCAAUGGCAUAAGCCAGCUUGACUGCGAGCGUGACGGCGCGAGCAGGUGCGAAAGCAGGUCAUAGUGAUCCGGUGGUUCUGAAUGGAAGGGCCAUCGCUCAACGGAUAAAAGGUACUCCGGGGAUAACAGGCUGAUACCGCCCAAGAGUUCAUAUCGACGGCGGUGUUUGGCACCUCGAUGUCGGCUCAUCACAUCCUGGGGCUGAAGUAGGUCCCAAGGGUAUGGCUGUUCGCCAUUUAAAGUGGUACGCGAGCUGGGUUUAGAACGUCGUGAGACAGUUCGGUCCCUAUCUGCCGUGGGCGCUGGAGAACUGAGGGGGGCUGCUCCUAGUACGAGAGGACCGGAGUGGACGCAUCACUGGUGUUCGGGUUGUCAUGCCAAUGGCACUGCCCGGUAGCUAAAUGCGGAAGAGAUAAGUGCUGAAAGCAUCUAAGCACGAAACUUGCCCCGAGAUGAGUUCUCCCUGAGACUUUAAGUCUCCUGAAGGAACGUUGAAGACGACGACGUUGAUAGGCCGGGUGUGUAAGCGCAGCGAUGCGUUGAGCUAACCGGUACUAAUGAACCGUGAGGCUUAACCUU
RNAcentral lists this ribosomal RNA (870 nucleotides) under Salmonella enterica subsp. enterica serovar Infantis. RNAcentral describes it as "partial 23S ribosomal RNA". It matches the Rfam family "Bacterial large subunit ribosomal RNA", at positions 2061 to 2925 of the family's 2925-position model. The record is from RNAcentral. Lineage: Bacteria; Pseudomonadati; Pseudomonadota; Gammaproteobacteria; Enterobacterales; Enterobacteriaceae.